UGAUGUCCACUUUGAUUACCUCUGCAAAGGAUUGGCCGAAACAAUCUGAAACUCUUUUUAGGAAGAAGAUUUCUAUGUUAUCCAAAGUGAACCAUAAGAAUUUCAUCAACCUUCUUGGGUAUUGCGAGGAAGGAGAACCUUUCACCAGAAUGAUGGUGUUUGAAUAUGCCCCAAAUGGUACAUUGUUUGAGCACCUACAUGUUAAAGAAGCAGAGCCCCUGAACUGGUUUGCGCGGCUACGAGUCGCCAUGGGAAUAGCAUAUUGUCUCGAGCACAUGCACCAGCUUAACCCACCCGUUAUUCUUAGAAAUCUGGACUCAUCAACGAUCUACCUAACUGAUGAUUACGCUGCCAAGAUCUCGGAUCUUGGGUUCUGGAACAUAGAGAAAGAAGCUGAGACUGUUUCAGGGAACUCAACUCCCUUGGAUACACCCAAGUCUGACACCGAGAGCAUUGUGUAUAAAUUUGGGAUAGUACUGCUCGAGUUGUUGUCGGGUAGGGUUCCAUUUUCUGCUGAAGAAGGUCUCCUUGAGCAGUGGGCAUCGAGUUAUUUAACCGGGAAGCGACCCCUUAAAGAAAUGGUCGAUCCAACCCUAAAAUCCUUGCGCGAUGAGGAGAUCAAUGCACUGUGUGAGGUGAUACGAUCCUGCAUUAAUCUAGACCUGUUGGAAAGGCCGACAAUGGCACAAAUUGCUCGUCAGCUGAGAGACAUCACAGCGAUGUCACCAGAAGGCGCAACCCCGAAAUUG
RNAcentral lists this unclassified non-coding RNA (749 nucleotides) under Hevea brasiliensis (rubber tree). The record is from RNAcentral. Lineage: Eukaryota; Viridiplantae; Streptophyta; Magnoliopsida; Malpighiales; Euphorbiaceae.